Molecule: ribosomal RNA, 553 nt
Filed under: uncultured bacterium
Lineage: Bacteria
Description: partial 16S ribosomal RNA
Rfam family: Bacterial small subunit ribosomal RNA
Source: RNAcentral
UGGGGAAUUUUGGACAAUGGGGGAAACCCUGAUCCAGCCAUCCCGCGUGUGCGAUGAAGGCCUUCGGGUUGUAAAGCACUUUUGGCAGGAAAGAAACGUCGCGGGUUAAUACCCCGCGAAACUGACGGUACCUGCAGAAUAAGCACCGGCUAACUACGUGCCAGCAGCCGCGGUAAUACGUAGGGUGCAAGCGUUAAUCGGAAUUACUGGGCGUAAAGCGUGCGCAGGCGGUUCGGAAAGAAAGAUGUGAAAUCCCAGAGCUUAACUUUGGAACUGCAUUUUUAACUACCGGGCUAGAGUGUGUCAGAGGGAGGUGGAAUUCCGCGUGUAGCAGUGAAAUGCGUAGAUAUGCGGAGGAACACCGAUGGCGAAGGCAGCCUCCUGGGAUAACACUGACGCUCAUGCACGAAAGCGUGGGGAGCAAACAGGAUUAGAUACCCUGGUAGUCCACGCCCUAAACGAUGUCAACUAGCUGUUGGGGGCCUUCGGGCCUUGGUAGCGCAGCUAACGCGUGAAGUUGACCGCCUGGGGAGUACGGUCGCAAGAUUAAAAA